This 998-nucleotide ribosomal RNA is filed under the name Magnibotryascoma kunmingense. RNAcentral's name for it is "SSU rRNA". It matches the Rfam family "Eukaryotic small subunit ribosomal RNA", at positions 77 to 1083 of the family's 1831-position model. The record is from RNAcentral. Lineage: Eukaryota; Fungi; Ascomycota; Dothideomycetes; Pleosporales; Teichosporaceae.
UACCGUGAAACUGCGAAUGGCUCAUUAAAUCAGUUAUCGUUUAUUUGAUAGUACCUUACUACUUGGAUAACCGUGGUAAUUCUAGAGCUAAUACAUGCUGAAAACCCCGACUUCGGGAGGGGUGUAUUUAUUAGAUAAAAAACCAAUGCCCUUCGGGGCUCCUUGGUGAUUCAUAAUAACUUAACAGAUCGCAUGGCCUUGCGCCGGCGACGGUUCAUUCAAAUUUCUGCCCUAUCAACUUUCGAUGGUAAGGUAUUGGCUUACCAUGGUUUCAACGGGUAACGGGGAAUUAGGGUUCGAUUCCGGAGAGGGAGCCUGAGAAACGGCUACCACAUCCAAGGAAGGCAGCAGGCGCGCAAAUUACCCAAUCCCGACACGGGGAGGUAGUGACAAUAAAUACUGAUACAGGGCUCUUUUGGGUCUUGUAAUCGGAAUGAGUACAAUUUAAACCUCUUAACGAGGAACAAUUGGAGGGCAAGUCUGGUGCCAGCAGCCGCGGUAAUUCCAGCUCCAAUAGCGUAUAUUAAAGUUGUUGCAGUUAAAAAGCUCGUAGUUGAAUCUUGGGCCUGGCUGGCCGGUCCGCCUCACCGCGUGCACUGGUCCGGCCGGGCCUUUCCUUCUGGAGAGCCCCAUGCCCUUCACUGGGUGUGCGGGGGAACCAGGACUUUUACUUUGAAAAAAUUAGAGUGUUCAAAGCAGGCCUUUGCUCGAAUACGUUAGCAUGGAAUAAUAGAAUAGGACGUGCGAUCCUAUUUUGUUGGUUUCUAGGACCGCCGUAAUGAUUAAUAGGGACAGUCGGGGGCAUCAGUAUUCAAUUGUCAGAGGUGAAAUUCUUGGAUUUAUUGAAGACUAACUACUGCGAAAGCAUUUGCCAAGGAUGUUUUCAUUAAUCAGUGAACGAAAGUUAGGGGAUCGAAGACGAUCAGAUACCGUCGUAGUCUUAACCGUAAACUAUGCCGACUAGGGAUCGGGCGGUGUUCCUUUGUUGACCCGCUCGG